RNAcentral lists this ribosomal RNA (468 nucleotides) under uncultured bacterium. Its description in RNAcentral is "partial 16S ribosomal RNA". It matches the Rfam family "Bacterial small subunit ribosomal RNA", at positions 28 to 507 of the family's 1533-position model. The record is from RNAcentral.
GACGAACGCUGGCGGCGUGCUUAACACAUGCAAGUCGAACGGAAAGGCCCUGCUUUUGUGGGGUGCUCGAGUGGCGAACGGGUGAGUAACACGUGAGUAACCUGCCCUUGACUUUGGGAUAAACUCAGGCAACUGGGGCUAAUACCGGAUAGGAGCUCCUGCUGCAUGGUGGUGGUUGGCAAGUUUCGGCGGUUGGGGAUGGACUCGCGGCUUAUCAGCUUGUUGGGGGGGUAGUGGCUUACCAAGGCUUUGACGGGUAGCCGGCCUGAGAGGGUGACCGGCCACAUUGGGACUGAGAUACGGCCCAGACUCCUACGGGGGGCAGCGGUGGGGAAGAGUGCACGAUGGGCGGAAGCCUGAUGCAGCAACGCCGCGUGCGGGAGGACGGCCAUCGGGGUGUAACCCGCUUUCGCCUGGGACGAAGCGUGAGUGACGGUAAUGGGUAAAGAAGCACCGGCUAACUACGUG